RNAcentral lists this ribosomal RNA (468 nucleotides) under uncultured bacterium. Its description in RNAcentral is "partial 16S ribosomal RNA". It matches the Rfam family "Bacterial small subunit ribosomal RNA", at positions 28 to 507 of the family's 1533-position model. The record is from RNAcentral.
GACGAACGCUGGCGGCGUGCUUAACACAUGCAAGUCGAACGGAAAGGCCCUGCUUUUGUGGGGUGCUCGAGUGGCGAACGGGUGAGUAACACGUGAGUAACCUGCCCUUGACUUUGGGAUAACUUCAGGAAACUGGGGCUAAUACCGGAUAGGAGCUCCUGCUGCAUGGUGGGGGUUGGAAAGUUUCGGCGGUUGGGGAUGGACUCGCGGCUUAUCAGCUUGUUGGUGGGGUAGUGGCUUACCAAGGCUUUGACGGGUAGCCGGCCUGAGAGGGUGACCGGCCACAUUGGGACUGAGGUACGGCCCAGACUCCUACGGGAGGCAGAAGUGGGGAAUAUUGCACAAUGGGCGGAAGCCUGAUGCAGCAACGCCGCGUGCGGGAUGACGGCCUUCGGGUUGUAAACCGCUUUCGCCUGUGACGAAGCGUGAGUGACGGUAAUGGGUAAAGAAGCACAGGCUAACUACGUG